GCUUAAUACAUGUUGGUUUAGAAUAAACUGCGUUCAUUUCAGCACGGUUUGUCUGAGCUCUGUUUUAUUGCUAUACAUAGGGUUACAAUAUCAUCAUUCUCAUCAUUCUCAGCAAAGUGUAUAUUGAUGGUAGUUGCAGUACACAGGGGGUAGAGUAGGCUACAUGUACUAUCCCUUGGUAUUAGUAUUAGAGGGUAAGGUAAGGCUAGGGGUUAUGGGAGUUAGGAAUAGAAAGUAAGGUUAGGCUAGGGGUUAUGGGAGUUAUGAAUAGAGAAUAAGGUUAGGCUAAGGGUUAUGGGAGUUAUGAAUAGAGAAUAAGGUUAGGCUAAGGGUUAUGGGAGUUAGUAAUAGAGGGUAAGGUUAGGCUAAGGGCUAUGGGAGUUAGGAAUAGAGGGUAAGGUUAGGCUAAGGGUUAUGGGAGUUAGUAAUAGAGUGCAAGGUUAGGCUAAGGGCUAUGGGAGUUAGGAAUAGAGGGUAAGGUAAGGCUAGGGGUUGUGGGAGUUAGGAAUAGAGUGUAGGAUUAGG
Pelobates cultripes (western spadefoot toad) is the source of this 525-nucleotide non-coding RNA. The record is from the annotation of a GenBank genome assembly. Lineage: Eukaryota; Metazoa; Chordata; Amphibia; Anura; Pelobatidae.